GAUGAACGCUAGCGGCAGGCCUAAUACAUGCAAGUCGAACGGAUAUAUGUUUUUCGGAAUAUAUAUUAGUGGCGCACGGGUGAGUAACACGUACAUAACUUGCCCUCAAGCGGGGGAUAGCCUUGGGAAACUGAGAGUAAUACCCCAUAGAAUUAUUGGACGGCAUCGUUUGAUAAUUAAAACUACGGUGCUUGGGGAUAGAUGUGCGUCUGAUUAGCUAGUUGGUGAGGUAAGGGCUCACCAAGGCGACGAUCAGUAGGGGGCGUGAGAGCGUGGCCCCCCCACACGGGUACUGAGACACGGACCUGACUCCUACGGGAGGCAGCAGUAAGGAAUAUUGGUCAAUGGAGGCAACUCUG
Molecule: ribosomal RNA, 359 nt
Filed under: uncultured bacterium
Lineage: Bacteria
Description: bacterial SSU rRNA
Rfam family: Bacterial small subunit ribosomal RNA
Source: RNAcentral